CCUACGGGCGGCUGCAGUGGGGAAUAUUGGACAAUGGGGGGAACCCUGAUCCAGCCAUGCCGCGUGUGUGAAGAAGGCCCUCGGGUUGUAAAGCACUUUCAGUGAGGAAGAACGCCUGGUGGUUAAUACCCAUCAGGAAAGACAUCACUCACAGAAGAAGCACCGGCUAACUCCGUGCCAGCAGCCGCGGUAAUACGGAGGGUGCGAGCGUUAAUCGGAAUUACUGGGCGUAAAGCGCGCGUAGGUGGCUUGAUAAGCCGGUUGUGAAAGCCCCGGGCUCAACCUGGGAACGGCAUCCGGAACUGUCAAGCUAGAGGGCAGGAGAGGAAGGUAGAAUUCCCGGUGUAGCGGUGAAAUGCGUAGAGAUCGGGAGGAAUACCAGUGGCGAAGGCGGCCUUCUGGACUGACACUGACACUGAGGUGCGAAAGCAUGGGUAGCAAACAGGAUUAGAUACCCCAGUAGUC
Molecule: ribosomal RNA, 465 nt
Filed under: Vreelandella stevensii
Lineage: Bacteria; Pseudomonadati; Pseudomonadota; Gammaproteobacteria; Oceanospirillales; Halomonadaceae
Description: partial 16S ribosomal RNA
Rfam family: Bacterial small subunit ribosomal RNA
Source: RNAcentral